AUGCCUUGCUACCCAGGAACCAAACACAUAGAACAGAAGGGACCAGGGAAAAACAAACAAGGAUCAUUAUGUUCCAGAAGUGCUUUUAUCUUUAGACUGAGCAGCAGUUUUUCCAGGUCACUGGGUAGUUGUGUGUGGGUGGGAACAUACUUCUCACAGAGAGAGAAAGGUAGGGAGAGCAUCAGCCUGUCUCUCUCUAGCUCUGAACCAGGCAUCAGGUUUCUGCUGCCUGUCGGCCUGUCUCUCUCUAGCUCUGAACCAGGCAUCAGGUUUCUGCUGCAUGUCUCUCUAGCUCUGAACCAGGCAACAGGUUUCUGCUGCCUGUCGGCCUGUCUCUCUCUAGCUCUGAACCAGGCAACAGGUUUCUGCUGCCUGUCUCUCUCUAGCUCUGAACCAGGUAACAGGUUUCUGCUGCCUGUCUCUCUAGCUCUGAACCAGGUAACAGGUUUCUGCUGCCUGUCUCUCUCUAGCUCUGAACCAGGCAUCAGGUUUCUGCUGCCUGUCUCUCUCUAGCUCUGAACCAGGUAACAGGUUUCUGUUUUAUUCAACUCAUGAAUGAAUGUUCCCAUAUUGCUGCCUGGCAGCCAGUAUCAGGAGAAAAGGGAACAUCUUGUUCCGUCAGUUAUGCUGCACAGAGUAGAACAGGCUGUGGCCAAAGUUAUGAAACGAAGAAUGGAAGGGAGGGGAAACAAUAGAAAAAGGAGAGUAGGAGCAGAGGGGGUAUAACUGGACUGUGUGUUUGAUUGAAUUCAUAUCUUAUACCAAUGUAUGGAAUAAUAUAAAGGGGGGGGGUCUUUUCAAUCCAUAUCGCAGAAGUUCAGCAUUACGUCACGAUUGAAAUUUAAAAGGCAGUGUUAGUCGAGACUGCAUUCACGGUAAACGCUGUAAUAUGUCGACUCAAUCAGAAAUGACCUUUAAAUUUCGAUAGCGUGCAAUCUGUAACGCCUCAGCGAAUAGAGAUUGAAUAAAGGCUGAAGUCUGUUUUUAGAGAGCGCUUGCAGAAAUUGCAUUUUUCAGGGUAGGAUAGGGAGUGACGCAAAAUGUAAAACAUGUCCGACACCGACUGGCUUGAUCAAGUCCAUAUUUCUGUGCUGAGAGGACAGACAAGAGUGGAAGAUGUCUUCUCCCUCAUCUUCCUCUUGGAGUCUUUCCCUCUGUGUGUUUCAACCUGUUGAUUGGUGGUGGUGUGACUCUACUGGACCGCUCUGUUGGCUGGGGGGCGCUGGACCGGGGGCGUUGGACCGGGGGCGCUGGACCGGGGGCGCUGGACCGGGGCUCUAGACUGGGGACGCUGGACCGGGGUCGCUGGACGGGAGCACUGGGCGAGGGCGGUGGGCUGGACGGGGCGGUGCAUGGUUUGGGGCUCCCCAGAACCACACUGACCCACCUUCCUUUAGAUAUCCCCCCUGCUCCUGGGAACCCUGAGGAGGAAAUGAAGAGGUGCCGGUAGUCAAGUAGUAGAAAAUGACAGGCGACAAUACAAAUUACAAGACAGACAGCACCAGUCUAGUUGAACCGCUGUGUGAUGUCGUCAUUAAAGGAGUAGUGUGGAGAAUAUGAUGGUUCAGUCACCUGGUUGUGUUGACAUGGUCACCCAGACCAGUACUUGUAGCAUCGACCAAUCAGAGAGGCUGUAGACUGCAUUAGGCUUUAUACUCUCUCUAGGGCUUGUUGUGUCUAUGGAGAGAGAUACAACAGUGAAUUUACAGAGAGAGAUAAAACAGUGACUAUAUAGAGAGAGAUAAAACAGUGACUUUACGGCGAGAGAUAAACAGUGACUAUAUAGAGAGAGAUAAAACAGUGACUUUACGGAGAGAGAUAAAACAGUCACAAUCACAUUUCAGAUAAGCACAUUCACAUGCAGCUUUUCAGAGACAUUCCUGGUUGCUCAGUCUAUCUGCAUCAGUGGGGAAUCGUCAGGGCCUUCUAGGCCUUCCCUAAGGAUUUAUAAAAAUGUAUGUUUUUCUAAAAAUAAACGUUGUUUUAAUUUCUAUUUAAUCUUUACAAUAAUCUUAAUAAUCGUCUUCUGAUUUAAUCUGAAGAAAUCUUUAGAUUGUCUUUAGCUAGCUUGUGUUGUAGUAGUGUGACGAUGUUAGCUAGCUUGUGUUGUAGUCGUGUGACGAUGUUAGCUAGCCUGUGUUGUAGUCGUGUGACGAUGUUAGCUAGCUUGUGUUGUAGUCAUGUGACAAUGUUAGCUAGCUGUGUUGUAGUCGUGUGACGAUGUUAGCUAGCUUGUGUUGUAGUCGUGUGACGAUGUUAGCUAGCUUGUGUUGUACUAGUGAGAUAAUGGAGACGGCAGCAGCAACUGUUAUCAUCUUCAAAGUGGCGUUAAGCUACCAUAGGUUGUGUAAUCAGUGUGUUUCUUGUUUUGUUGGUUGCGUUAUUUUAUGCUGUGUGUCAUAUUGUGUCCAUGCCGGCUUACAGCAGUGGAGGCUCCUCAGAGGAGGAAGGAGAGGACCAUCCUCCUCAGUGAAUUUAAAUUUAAAUUUAUUUUUUUGUGAAACAAUUAAAAAAAAGUGAUCCUUUUUAGAUAAAACUAAACUAAAUAUGUUAACAUGUCACCAAAUAAUUGAUUUAAACAACAAAGGUCUACAGUAGCCUCAACAGCACUCUCUGGUGUAGCACCCCUGUGUAGCCGGAGGACAGCUAGCUCCCAUCCUCCUUCAAGUAUAUUGACUUCAAACCUAGGAGGCUUAUAUUUAUUUUUGUUUUGUUAUUUAACUAGGCAAGUCAGUUAAGAACAAAUUCUUAUUUACAAUGAUGGCCUACCCCCAGCCAAACCCAGACGGCACUGGGCCAAUUGUGCACCACCCUAUGGGACUCCCAAUCACAGCCAGAUGUAAUACAACCUGGAUUUGAACCAGGGACUGUAGCCUCUUGCACUGAGAUUCAGUGCCUUAGACUGCUGCACCACUCGGGAGUUCUCACCCCCUUCCAUACACAGUAGUUAUGACAACUUCCGGAGGACAUCCUCCAACCUAUCAGAGCUCUUGUAUCAUGAACUGACAUAUUGUCCAUCCAAUGAAAGGAUCAGAGAAUUAAUCUAGUAUUGAAAGCAUAAGCUACAGCUAGCUAGAACUGCAGUGUUUAAAAUGUGUUGAGUAGUUGACUCAAAGAGAGAGAAAUACAAUCAUUGAACAGUUUUGAACAAAUUAAUUCCUUAAAAAAUGUAAGAGAAGCAAGAGAGAGAGAGCUAUAUUUAGUUGUAUUUCUUUUCACUUUCACUUACCUAGCUAGCGAAUGCAGCUAGCUAGUUUAGCCUACUCAAACACCCGGCUCAAACAGAGGGAUGCUAUGUUAGCUAGCUGGCUAUGACUAUCCAACACAACACUGGAACUCUUCUUAGUCAAGGUAAGCUUUUGGUUUUAUUAGUUUAAUGCCACCAGGGCACGCCGGUGUAACUGCUAAACUGCUUGCUGACUGUACACUAUAUAGUGUGGGGUUAGGAUGUACUGUAGGCCGAGGCUGGAUGGAUGGACAUAGGGUGAUUUUGAAUGUUUUGUACGUAAUCAAAUGAUUAAUGACCGAUGUCUUCUUUGGUUUUUACUUGAGCUGCCUUCUUGGCCAGGUCUUCCUUGAAAAUGAGUUAUUUUGACCACAAUGUGACAACCUGGUUAAAAUAAAGGUUGAAUCCAACUAAAAUUUCACAUUUUUGGAGUUUGUCCUCAGAAUCAGUCUACUGUUUAAAAAUAGCAGAUGAACUAGACUACAGUCGAUAUAAAUGAGUCAUGUAUUAUUUUGACCAGGUGUUGAUAUCGUGGUUUCAUAGUGAGGUUAUAGUUCAGUCAACCAAAUGUUCAUCAAACAUAAACCGGAGUGUAUGAAAGGACACCCCGUUGUCACAAUGGUUCAAAGGAUAAAAGUGCAAAGGUUGACAGUAAUUCUCCAUUAAGUUAACACACAUCCUCCGGUCACUCUUCAUAUCAUCUAUCAAACAAACAAACACCCCAACCCAGACCAAACCUGUUGUCUGUCCAUGUUCAAUAACGGAUGAGACAAAGUCAAGGUUUUAAAAAUAGGGUUUAUCUUUACUUCUAUAGAACUGGUUACGAGCCAGGAGGCAGGCGGGGGAGUUAACACUGGUCAUGUUGCUUCUGGUCAGCCGGUCGACGGUUCAAUUCCCUGAAGAAAAAAAAAGAGACAAGAGAGAAAGAACGAGUGAUCAGGCUGGCUAGACGUGGACAAACAGAGUCAUGGAUUUUUCAUCCUGAACUCUGGAACAAUUUGUUUAACCUUCAGUCCAGAAACCUUUGCUGCUAUUUUCAGCUAUUUCAUUUUAUAGUACAUUUCAGUCAUUU
RNAcentral lists this long non-coding RNA (4298 nucleotides) under Salmo trutta (river trout). Its description in RNAcentral is "lncRNA (ENSSTUG00000006586.1)". Lineage: Eukaryota; Metazoa; Chordata; Actinopteri; Salmoniformes; Salmonidae. The record is from RNAcentral.